UGGGGAAUAUUGCACAAUGGGCGCAAGCCUGAUGCAGCCAUGCCGCGUGUGUGAAGAAGGCCUUCGGGUUGUAAAGCACUUUCAGCGGGGAGGAAGGCGAUAAGGUUAAUAACCUUGUCGAUUGACGUUACCCGCAGAAGAAGCACCGGCUAACUCCGUGCCAGCAGCCGCGGUAAUACGGAGGGUGCAAGCGUUAAUCGGAAUUACUGGGCGUAAAGCGCACGCAGGCGGUCUGUCAAGUCGGAUGUGAAAUCCCCGGGCUUAACCUGGGAACUGCAUUCGAAACUGGCAGGCUAGAGUCUUGUAGAGGGGGGUAGAAUUCCAGGUGUAGCGGUGAAAUGCGUAGAGAUCAGGAGGAAUACCGGUGGCGAAGGCGGCCCCCUGGAGAAAGACUGACGCUCAGGUGCGAAAGCGUGGGGAGCAAACAGG
RNAcentral lists this ribosomal RNA (429 nucleotides) under Chloroflexota bacterium. RNAcentral's name for it is "Chloroflexi bacterium partial 16S ribosomal RNA". It matches the Rfam family "Bacterial small subunit ribosomal RNA", at positions 355 to 776 of the family's 1533-position model. The record is from RNAcentral. Lineage: Bacteria; Bacillati; Chloroflexota.